This is a long non-coding RNA of Oreochromis niloticus (Nile tilapia), 957 nucleotides long. RefSeq lists it as uncharacterized. NCBI's taxonomy places the organism in Eukaryota, Metazoa, Chordata, Actinopteri, Cichliformes, Cichlidae. The transcript is spliced from 3 exons. The record is from RefSeq and is a predicted model, not a curated record.
CCUCUCUUAUUCAAAUCCAUACGGUAAAAAAAUAAAUUUUUCCUAGCCAAAAUAUAUUUUUUUACCGUAUGGGAAGUGACAUCAUAAGUCCAAAACACUGCGUUUGACACCUGUUGUUCCUUAAAACUACUUUUGAAGAUGAGACCUGCUGCUGGAUAACAGUGGGUGCAUCAGAUUGCCCGUUGUGGUGAACGUGGCCGCCUGAUAUGCAGAGAAGCCGGUUUGAGAUUUUGGAGCAGCGUGCACCGUGAGCCGUGCCCGCCGGGUUUGGGUUUUCUUGUUCCCCGCUGAGGUUGUUGUGGUGAAAAAGUCUCUGAACUGGGUCACAGCUGUGCAGCACACAGCGGCACCGUGGCACAUUUCUCUGUGAGUGAGGACAUUGUGAAGGCCGGGAGUGAAAAUGAGCAUGCUUGUUAAACUGCCCCCCCUCCAAGUAAGAUGAGAAGAGCAAGAAGCCGAAGCAAUAAAUCAUUAAUUCGCCAUAAAGGCAGUCGGGGAGGAAAGGCAACAUCUCUCUGUCUUUUAAAAGUGAUGUGGAUGUAUGGCAGCGCAGCCUGUACGUCUGCCGCCUCGCUACGGCCUUCUGGAGAUAGCCAGAAACAAGAAAACACAGUCUGGAGAUCAGCAGUAACAACAAAAUGGUUUUCGAAGAGCUGAGGAAACCGAACACCUUCUAAUCUUUGUUUCUUUAAUCACUGGAGUUUGAUCAGAAACCUUCUGCUGCACAUUAAUUGUGUAUUUCUAAAAAAUAAUCAUUUUUAAGCAGAAAAACAAAUAUUUAAAAAAAAUCACACUAAAUCCUGAUAAGGUGAAUUUAACAAUGUAUUAAUUCAUAUAUGCAAAACUCUUAGAUUUAAUUCCCUUUCAGCCUCGACUCUUGUGAAUUAAAGGUCUGGCAUUAAAUGACUUUGUCUUGCCCUCGAUUACCAAAGGGAAUAAAGAUCACUGAAUCAGAGC